RNAcentral lists this ribosomal RNA (250 nucleotides) under uncultured bacterium. Its description in RNAcentral is "partial 16S ribosomal RNA". It matches the Rfam family "Bacterial small subunit ribosomal RNA", at positions 524 to 773 of the family's 1533-position model. The record is from RNAcentral.
UACGUAGGGUGCGAGCGUUGUCCGGAAUUAUUGGGCGUAAAGAGCUCGUAGGCGGUUUGUCGCGUCGGCCGUGAAAACUUGGGGCUUAACCCCAAGCUUGCGGUCGAUACGGGCAGACUUGAGUUCGGCAGGGGAGACUGGAAUUCCUGGUGUAGCGGUGAAAUGCGCAGAUAUCAGGAGGAACACCGGUGGCGAAGGCGGGUCUCUGGGCCGACACUGACGCUGAGGAGCGAAAGCGUGGGGAGCGAAC